GUGAUUAUACAAAACAAAAGUAUUUAGCCUCAAUGGAAGGUGCUGUUCUGUCAGGGAAACUUUGUGCACAAGCAAUUGUACAGGAUUACGAAUUGCUUGUUGCUCGGGGACAAACAAGG
Prunus avium (sweet cherry) is the source of this 119-nucleotide non-coding RNA. The record is from RefSeq and is a predicted model, not a curated record. Lineage: Eukaryota; Viridiplantae; Streptophyta; Magnoliopsida; Rosales; Rosaceae.